Sapajus apella (tufted capuchin) is the source of this 746-nucleotide long non-coding RNA. RefSeq lists it as uncharacterized. The transcript is spliced from 2 exons. NCBI's taxonomy places the organism in Eukaryota, Metazoa, Chordata, Mammalia, Primates, Cebidae. The record is from RefSeq and is a predicted model, not a curated record.
CCGCUGAGUCACUACCCGACUCCCUUAGCAGGUGGAUAGAUCCAAAGUUCAAGGGGAUCUGUCUGGUAGCAGGCACCAGACAACUGGAGACAGGAUAUCUAGGCUGUGUCUCAACAGCAGGCGGUGAAGAUGCCAGACUUCGACUCAAGUCAACAUAUUUGGAGUGGAGCUGAUUUACAUGUUUCUUGUUAAUGGUCUUAGUGUGUGUGUGUGUGUGUGUGUGUGUGUUGCGUGGGGGUGAGAAGUAGGGAGCAGGACUAUUGUGAACAGAAGCUUGAGAGGUGAGGCCCUUGGCCCAACCCACGCUGUGCUUGGCAAAUGUAAUCCCAGGCUAACUAAACCGGAAGUUCUGAUCUAUAGUUAAGGCGUCAAGGAGAUUGUGUGUGUGUGUGUUUGUAAGGCCCCUCCCUGCAAAGAUAAAUAAUAAUGGUCAACAUUUAUGGGUGCUUGCUGUGUCAGUCGCUGUUCUGACUGCUUUGCUUACAGCAGCUCUUGCAAUCCUGGUAACAACUACAUUAGGAGAGGAUAAAUAUUACGCCAACUUUCCAGGUGAGGAUGCUGGCACAGAGAGUUGAAGCCCGAGGUCUCACAGUGAGGAACCCUUUGGGUGGAGAAUAACCCAGGUAGACUGGUUCCCGAGUCCGCUGUCCCCAGCACCACACAAUACUGUCUCUGGGCCUGACUCUGGACUUGAAGUGUGUUGGUGUGUAUUAUUCAUCUUCAUAUACUCAGAACCUAGCACCAUG